GCUGCAAGACCGUCAGCAGGAGCCAGCAUGGGAAGCACUCGACGUAUCGACACGUGUGCUCUCAUCCAGGACGUGAACAUCGUUGAACUAUAUGGGACAAACUGGCCAGCAAGAUUUUUAUCACAAGGGUUGUGUGCAUAAACCAACCUAAAAGAAUGAUCGAUGUUUUGGAUUCUUUUUAAUCGCAAUAAACAGCCUUUCUUGGUGUCUU
Molecule: long non-coding RNA, 211 nt
Organism: Etheostoma spectabile (orangethroat darter)
Lineage: Eukaryota; Metazoa; Chordata; Actinopteri; Perciformes; Percidae
Exons: 2
Source: RefSeq, a predicted model, not a curated record